This 71-nucleotide transfer RNA is filed under the name Gongylonema pulchrum. It matches the Rfam family "tRNA". Rfam says of the family: Transfer RNA (tRNA) molecules are approximately 80 nucleotides in length. Their secondary structure includes four short double-helical elements and three loops (D, anti-codon, and T loops). The record is from Rfam by way of RNAcentral. Lineage: Eukaryota; Metazoa; Nematoda; Chromadorea; Rhabditida; Gongylonematidae.
GGAUUGGUGGUGUAGUGGUAAUACGUUGCAUCAGGAAAUGAAAGAGGUUGGUUCGAUUCCCACCCAGUCCG